This 300-nucleotide ribosomal RNA is filed under the name uncultured Desulfatiglans sp. RNAcentral describes it as "partial 16S ribosomal RNA". The stretch from base 58 to 300 matches the Rfam family "Bacterial small subunit ribosomal RNA", at positions 553 to 795 of the family's 1533-position model. Lineage: Bacteria; Pseudomonadati; Thermodesulfobacteriota; Desulfobacteria; Desulfatiglandales; Desulfatiglandaceae. The record is from RNAcentral.
GCAAAUGCAGAGAGCGUUGGGGCGGUAUGAUGUGGGAGGCAAGGGUUAACUGGAAGAAUAGGGCGGAAAGAGGCAGUAGGGGAGGAGGCUAGAAUGCGGUCAAAGGGAGGGGCGUAAACCUGGAAAGGCCGGUGAAAAGAGCGGGUUAGAGUGAAGUAGAGGUAGAGGGAAUGCGUGGUGGAGCGGUGAAAUGCGUAUAGCUCGGGAAGAACAGCGGUGGCGAAAGCGCUCUACUGGACGGCAACUGACACUCAGGGACGAAAGCUAGGGGAGCGAAUGGGAUUAGAUACCCUGGUAUUC